RNAcentral lists this ribosomal RNA (503 nucleotides) under Helotiales sp. 1 MV-2011. Its description in RNAcentral is "eukaryotic LSU rRNA". The stretch from base 126 to 279 matches the Rfam family "5.8S ribosomal RNA". Lineage: Eukaryota; Fungi; Ascomycota; Leotiomycetes; Helotiales. The record is from RNAcentral.
CCGUGUCUAUAUACUCUUGUUGCUUUGGCAGGCCGUGGCCUCCCACUGUGGGCUCAGCCUGCAUGUGCCUGCCAGAGGACCAAACUCUGAAUGUUAGUGAUGUCUGAGUACUAUAUAAUAGUUAAAACUUUCAACAACGGAUCUCUUGGUUCUGGCAUCGAUGAAGAACGCAGCGAAAUGCGAUAAGUAAUGUGAAUUGCAGAAUUCAGUGAAUCAUCGAAUCUUUGAACGCACAUUGCACCCGGUGGUAUUCCGCCGGGUAUGCCUGUUCGAGCGUCAUUAUAACCACUCAAGCCUGUCUUGGUGUUGGGGAUUGCGAAUCUCGCAGCCCUAGAGUCCAGUAGCGUCACCUGUGGGUCCUAAGCGUAGUAAUUUCUCCUCGCUACAGAACCUGCUCGUGGAUAGUGUAAAUCCAGUUAGGUCUGGUAUCCCGCUAUUAAACCCCCAAUUUUCAAAGGUUGACCUCGGAUCAAGUAGGGAUACCCGCUGAACUUAAGCAUAUC